Molecule: ribosomal RNA, 506 nt
Filed under: uncultured bacterium
Lineage: Bacteria
Description: bacterial SSU rRNA
Rfam family: Bacterial small subunit ribosomal RNA
Source: RNAcentral
GAUGAACGCUAGCUACAGGCUUAACACAUGCAAGUCGAGGGGAAACGACAUCGAAAGCUUGCUUUUGAUGGGCGUCGACCGGCGCACGGGUGAGUAACGCGUAUCCAACCUGCCCUUCACCACGGAAUAAUCCAGUGAAAAUUGGUCUAAUACCGUAUGAGGUCAUACGAUGGCAUCAGAAUAUGACGAAAGGUUUGGCGGUGAAGGAUGGGGAUGCGUCUGAUUAGCUUGUUGGUGAGGUAACGGCUCACCAAGGCGACGAUCAGUAGGGGUUCUGAGAGGAAGGUCCCCCCACAUUGGAACUGAGACACGGUCCAAACUCCUACGGGAGGCAGCAGUGAGGAAUAUUGGGUCAAUGGACGAGAGUCUGAACCAGCCAAGUAGCGUGCAGGAUGACGGCCCUAUGGGUUGUAAACUGCUUUUAUAAGGGAAUAAAGUUAGUCUCGUGAGACUUUUUGCAUGUACCUUAUGAAUAAGGACCGGCUAAUUCCGUGCCAGCAGCCGGG